AGAUUGGACGCUGGCGGCAGGCCUAACACAUGCAAGUCGAGCGGCAGCACGGGUACUUGUACCUGGUGGCGAGCGGCGACGGGUGAGGUAAUGCCUAGGAAUCUGCCUGAUAGUGGGGGAUAACGUUCGGAAACGGACGCUAAUACCGCAUACGUCCUACGGGAGAAAGUGGGGGAUCUUCGGACCUCACGCUAUCAGAUGAGCCUAGGUCGGAUUAGCUAGUUGGUAGGUAAAGGCCUACCAAGGCUACGAUCCGUAACUGGUCUGAGAGGACGACCAGCCACACUGGGACUGAGACACGGCCCAGACUCCUACGGAGGCAGCAGUGGGAAUUUGACAAUGGGGAACCUGAUCCAGCCA
This 360-nucleotide ribosomal RNA is filed under the name uncultured soil bacterium. Its description in RNAcentral is "bacterial SSU rRNA". It matches the Rfam family "Bacterial small subunit ribosomal RNA", at positions 26 to 394 of the family's 1533-position model. The record is from RNAcentral.